Molecule: ribosomal RNA, 253 nt
Filed under: uncultured bacterium
Lineage: Bacteria
Description: partial 16S ribosomal RNA
Rfam family: Bacterial small subunit ribosomal RNA
Source: RNAcentral
UACGGAGGGUGCAAACGUUGCUCGGAAUCAUUGGGCGUAAAGCGCACGUAGGCGGCUCGUUAAGUCGGAUGUGAAAGCCCUGGGCUCAACCCAGGAAGUACAUACGAAACUGGCGAGCUUGAAUAUGGAAGAGGGUCGCGGAAUUCCCGGUGUAGAGGUGAAAUUCGUAGAUAUCGGGAGGAACACCAGUGGCGAAGGCGGCGACCUGGGCCAAUAUUGACGCUGAGGUGCGAAAGCGUGGGGAGCAAACAGG